Heterocephalus glaber (naked mole-rat) is the source of this 471-nucleotide non-coding RNA. Lineage: Eukaryota; Metazoa; Chordata; Mammalia; Rodentia; Bathyergidae. The record is from the annotation of a RefSeq genome assembly.
UCUUUUUUGAGGAUGUAGUGCGAGCAAACUAUACAAGGUCACAGCAUCAAGAUGAUUCCCCCAUCACCUCUCCUCGGAAUUCUGCUCCUCUGGGUUCCAGCCUCCAGUGGUGAGAUUGUGCUGACACAGUCUCCAGCUGUCCUGUCUUUGAGUCCAGAAGAAAAAGCCACCAUCACCUGCCAGGCCAGCCAGGGCAUUAGCAGCAGCUUACACUGGUACCAGCAAAAGCCAAAUCAGGCUCCAAAACUCCUCAUAAAAUAUGCUUCUGAGUCUAUCUCUGGUGUGUCUUCGAGGUUUAGUGGCAGUGGAUCUGGGACAGAUUUUACCCUCACCAUCAGCAGCCUGGAGCCUGAAGAUGUUGCCACUUAUUACUGCCAGCAAAGCAGAAGUUAUCCUUCUCCCACAGUGGUGCAACCCAGAACAAAAACUAGUUCGGGCUGGUGGAACAGAGAUACUGUUGCACUCUUAUGA